GCGGCCGCCAAGGCCAUCGGGUAAGCGGGCAGGGGUUAGUGGGUAGCUGCAGCAAGCCUGGCUUGGCGCUGCCGGCGGGCCCCGGGAGCGCUCCGUGCGCCGGGUGGGCGGGGGAGUGCGCCGGGUGAGCCCCAGGGCGUCGCCCCAGCCUGAACCCCCGGCCCAGGGUCCUGGCGCGCAACGACAUGAGCAUCGCCGAGGAGCUGCUGUACCUGCGCGUGGUGCGUGGCCUAAUGGCCGCCAUGGGCAACACGGACCACAGCAACAGCCAGCGGCUGGCCAGCCUCACGCUGGAGUGCUUCGUGCAGAUGUUCCCCUUGGUGGCGGAGCACGUGCGCAAGUGCAUGGGGGAGGAACUCUACCAGCUCUUCCUGAGCAACGCUGAGGACUUGUACAUGAAAAUAGACAGCAUUCAGGCGGACAUCUUGGCGGCCAACACAGUCAAUGUUACCAAAGGUGAGUGUGGGACGAGGGAAGCCGGGCGCAGGCGCCGCCAGCACAGCCUCACGCCUGCCUUUCCUGCCUGCAGCCCUGUGCCUCCAUGGCAGCUCCUACAGCAUGAACACUCUCUAUGGCUCGCGUGAUUCGGCUCAGAUGGCCUACCUCACACACUUCGAGGAGGAUGUAGAAUCAAAGGAGUAACAGCCCCUGUGGCAAACCAGGAAGGCCAAGGCUGCGGGGCAGGGAAGCCUGGCAAGAGGAAGGCGCCUGGGGUCAAGCUCAGAGCCACUCCACUUGGCUCCAAGGGGGAGACGGGGAUUAGGCACCCCAGAGGGGCAGAGGGAGAGCCGCUGGCUGCGAAGAGUCAAUAAACAGCCUUGAUACCUGUC
RNAcentral lists this small RNA (830 nucleotides) under Pan troglodytes (chimpanzee). Its description in RNAcentral is "retained intron". Lineage: Eukaryota; Metazoa; Chordata; Mammalia; Primates; Hominidae. The record is from RNAcentral.